CGUCAAUUUAACUUUCGAUGAAGGAUUCAGCGCAAUCUUCAGUGACAAAGGAACAAGUCUUGUCGGGGAGACCAGUCUUCUUCACGUGAGGUCAAAUGAGCAGCAAGCUCCCGGACUAAGGCAGUGGAACGUGCAGUUCUCUCCACAAGAAGAAGAAAUCAUCCAAAGCGUAAUUACCAAAUGGCUUCAUGUC
Etheostoma spectabile (orangethroat darter) is the source of this 193-nucleotide long non-coding RNA. RefSeq lists it as uncharacterized. NCBI's taxonomy places the organism in Eukaryota, Metazoa, Chordata, Actinopteri, Perciformes, Percidae. The transcript has 3 exons. The record is from RefSeq and is a predicted model, not a curated record.